GGAAUGUGGCUCACGUGGUAGGGUGCUUGCCUGGCAUGCGAGGGGCGCUGGGUUCAAUCCUCAACACCA
This 69-nucleotide transfer RNA is filed under the name Marmota monax (woodchuck). Its description in RNAcentral is "tRNA.Ala". Lineage: Eukaryota; Metazoa; Chordata; Mammalia; Rodentia; Sciuridae. The record is from RNAcentral.